This is a long non-coding RNA of Amblyraja radiata (thorny skate), 147 nucleotides long. RefSeq lists it as uncharacterized. NCBI's taxonomy places the organism in Eukaryota, Metazoa, Chordata, Chondrichthyes, Rajiformes, Rajidae. The record is from RefSeq and is a predicted model, not a curated record. The transcript is spliced from 3 exons.
UGGAGUUUGCACGUUCUCCCUGUGGCCAUGUGUGCUGCCUCCAAGUGUUCCGGUUUUCUCCCACAUCUCAAAGACAUGCUGGUUUGUAAGUUAACUAGCCUCUGUAAAUCACCCUUAGCGUGUAAGGAGUGGAUGAGAAAGUGGGAG